Molecule: ribosomal RNA, 110 nt
Filed under: Rattus norvegicus (Norway rat)
Lineage: Eukaryota; Metazoa; Chordata; Mammalia; Rodentia; Muridae
Source: RNAcentral
GUCUAUGGCCAUACCACCCUGAACACGCCCGAUCUCGUCUGAUCUCGGAAGCUAAGCAGGGUCAGGCCUGGUUAGUACUUGGAUGGGAGAAAGGAGGGAAACUGAAAACA